RNAcentral lists this long non-coding RNA (2165 nucleotides) under Homo sapiens (human). RNAcentral describes it as "HSALNT0291567". Lineage: Eukaryota; Metazoa; Chordata; Mammalia; Primates; Hominidae. The record is from RNAcentral.
CGGGUUGAAGCGAUUCUCCUGCCUCAGCUGCUGAGUAGCUGGGAUUACAGGUGUGGCAUCUGGCAUGAAACCAAGGACAAGACACUCAGUUGAGCUUUGUGAAAGAGUGACAGAUGAUGGAUAGAGUCAUGGGCCUGCCUCUUAUGGAGCUAAGAAAUGAAAUCUGGAUACGGAGGCCUGAGUACCUCAGAGAAGCCAAGGUUCCUGCAGGAACCUCGUGCCUGCUGUCCACGUUGGGCUUCAUUUUAUCAAAAUACAGCAAAGAGCUCAUCAUUUCUCAGCUCCUGUCGGAAGCAACAGUGGCUGUUCCUGGACACAGAGCUGCAGACAAGGAGUGCCAACACUUCCUGGAGAUGAAACACAACUUCAAUACAGAGAUAGCAAGUUCACACUCUGGCAGUCAUGCAAGGAUGAGUGAUGCGGGCCUUUUCUAAGUGAGUAUGAACGGGUGGGACCUACGGUAAAUUCAAUGCAGUAUAAUCCGUCUACGGGGCAGUGGGCACCCAGCAACAGCCAACUGUUACCAAAUCAAAGUGCAGGCCCAGGAUGACUCAUCUUCCAGCAUUUCAUGAGCAACCAGAAGUCUACAUUUCUUUGAGAAAAAAAAUUUUUUUGAGACGAGGUCUUACUCUGUUGCCCAGGCUGGAGUGUGUAGCUUCUACCUCCCGGGGCUUAGGUGAUUCUCCCACCUCAAGUCUCCCAAGUAGCUGAGACUGCAGGCAUGUGCCACCACGCUGGCUAAUUUUUUUUUUUUUUUUGAGUCGGAGUCUCGCUCUGUCCCCCAGGCUGGAGCGCAGUGGCGCGAUCUCGGCUAACUGCGAGCUCCGCCUCCCGGGGUUCGUGCCAUUCUCCUGCUUCAGCCUCCCAAGUAGCUGGGACUACAGGCGCCCGCCACCACGCCCGGCUAAUUUUUUUGUAUUUUGUAGUAGAAACGGGGUUUCACCAUGUUAGCCAGGAUGGUCUCGAUCUCCUGACCUCGUGAUCCUCCCGCCUCGGCCUCCCAAAGUGCUGGGAUUACAGGCGUGAGCCACCGCUCCCGCCCCAUGCCAGCUAAUUUUUUUGUAGAGACAGGGCUUCGCCAUGUUGUCCAGGCUGGUCUCCAACCCCUAGGCUCCCCGCCUUGCCCUCCCAAAAUGUGGAGAUUACAGGUGUGAGCCACAAUGCCUGGCCAUUUUGAGGAAUUUUUAAACACUGGCUUUAAUUUUUCAAAGUAUCUGGAGCAACUUCUGCUUCUGAGAGAUAGAGUAGAUAUUCUUUUCCCCAGUCCUCCUGCUAAGUACAGCUAAAAACCCCAAAAACACUCUAUAUUAUACAAAAUGAACAUAAGAUGACUCUGAACAAGAAGAAAGCAGAUUGGUUAGGGACCUCCAGAUCCAAGGAAUGACUCAGCAGUGACCUCCCUAAGUUUUCUUUUUGCCUCAUAUAUGUCAGAAUGGGUACUGGAGAAGCCAGCAACCCAAAACUGCCAACGAUUGCAGACAAAAGCCCCAAGAAAAGCUUGUCUUUUUUUUUUUUUUUUUUUUGAAAGAGUGUCUUGCUCUAUCGCCCAGGCUGGAGUGCAGUGGUGCAAUCAUGGCUCACUGCAGCCUUGAUCUCCCAGGCUUAAGCUGCUUAGACUACAGAUCUGCGCCACCAUGCCUGACUAAUCAAUACAGUUGUUUUUUUUUUUUGAAACGGAGUUUCACUCUUGUUGCCCAGGCUGGAGUGCACUGGCGCGAUCUCAGCUCACUGCUGCAACCUCUGCCUCCUGGGCUCAAGCAGUUCUCCUGCCUCACCUCCUGAGUAGCUGGGAUUACAGGCAUGCACCAUCACGCCCUGCUAUUUUUUGUAUUUUUAGAAGUAGAGAUGGGGUUUCACCAUGUUGGUCAGGCUGGUCUCAAACUCCUGAUCUCAGGUGAUCCGCCCGACUCGGCCUCCCAAAGUGCUGGGAUUACAGGCAUGAGCCAUCGUGCCCGGCCUUUUUGUUUUUUUUGUUUGUUUGUUUGUUAUGUUUUUUUGUAGAGAUGGGGGUCUCACUGUUUCCCAGGCUGAUCUCAAAUUCCUGGGCUCAAGCAAUCCUCUGGCCUCAGCCUCCCAAAGUGCUGGAAUUAUAAGCGUGAACCAUGGUGUCCUGCAAGUCUGCUUUCUGAGUCAAAGGACAAGAAAAUAAACAGCCUAGAAAGACA